AGAGUUUGAUCAUGGCUCAGAUUGAACGCUGGCGGCAGGCCUAACACAUGCAAGUCGAACGGUAACAGAAAGCAGCUUGCUGCUUUGCUGACGAGUGGCGGACGGGUGAGUAAUGUCUGGGAAACUGCCUGAUGGAGGGGGAUAACUACUGGAAACGGUAGCUAAUACCGCAUAACGUCGCAAGACCAAAGAGGGGGACCUUCGGGCCUCUUGCCAUCGGAUGUGCCCAGAUGGGAUUAGCUUGUUGGUGGGGUAACGGCUCACCAAGGCGACGAUCCCUAGCUGGUCUGAGAGGAUGACCAGCCACACUGGAACUGAGACACGGUCCAGACUCCUACGGGAGGCAGCAGUGGGGAAUAUUGCACAAUGGGCGCAAGCCUGAUGCAGCCAUGCCGCGUGUAUGAAGAAGGCCUUCGGGUUGUAAAGUACUUUCAGCGGGGAGGAAGGGAGUAAAGUUAAUACCUUUGCUCAUUGACGUUACCUGCAGAAGAAGCACCGGCUAACUCCGUGCCAGCAGCCGCGGUAAUACGGAGGGUGCAAGCGUUAAUCGGAAUUACUGGGCGUAAAGCGCACGCAGGCGGUUUGUUAAGUCAGAUGUGAAAUCCCCGGGCUCAACCUGGGAACUGCAUCUGAUACUGGCAAGCUUGAGUCUCGUAGAGGGGGGUAGAAUUCCAGGUGUAGCGGUGAAAUGCGUAGAGAUCUGGAGGAAUACCGGUGGCGAAGGCGGCCCCCUGGACGAAGACUGACGCUCAGGUGCGAAAGCGUGGGGAGCAAACAGGAUUAGAUACCCUGGUAGUCCACGCCGUAAACGAUGUCGACUUGGAGGUUGUGCCCUUGAGGCGUGGCUUCCGGAGCUAACGCGUUAAGUCGACCGCCUGGGGAGUACGGCCGCAAGGUUAAAACUCAAAUGAAUUGACGGGGGCCCGCACAAGCGGUGGAGCAUGUGGUUUAAUUCGAUGCAACGCGAAGAACCUUACCUGGUCUUGACAUCCACAGAACUUUCCAGAGAUGGAUUGGUGCCUUCGGGAACUGUGAGACAGGUGCUGCAUGGCUGUCGUCAGCUCGUGUUGUGAAAUGUUGGGUUAAGUCCCGCAACGAGCGCAACCCUUAUCCUUUGUUGCCAGCGGUCCGGCCGGGAACUCAAAGGAGACUGCCAGUGAUAAACUGGAGGAAGGUGGGGAUGACGUCAAGUCAUCAUGGCCCUUACGACCAGGGCUACACACGUGCUACAAUGGCGCAUACAAAGAGAAGCGACCUCGCGAGAGCAAGCGGACCUCAUAAAGUGCGUCGUAGUCCGGAUUGGAGUCUGCAACUCGACUCCAUGAAGUCGGAAUCGCUAGUAAUCGUGGAUCAGAAUGCCACGGUGAAUACGUUCCCGGGCCUUGUACACACCGCCCGUCACACCAUGGGAGUGGGUUGCAAAAGAAGUAGGUAGCUUAACCUUCGGGAGGGCGCUUACCACUUUGUGAUUCAUGACUGGGGUGAAGUCGUAACAAGGUAACCGUAGGGGAACCUGCGGUUGGAUCACCU
This 1530-nucleotide ribosomal RNA is filed under the name Escherichia coli. Its description in RNAcentral is "bacterial SSU rRNA". It matches the Rfam family "Bacterial small subunit ribosomal RNA". The record is from RNAcentral. Lineage: Bacteria; Pseudomonadati; Pseudomonadota; Gammaproteobacteria; Enterobacterales; Enterobacteriaceae.